This 496-nucleotide ribosomal RNA is filed under the name uncultured bacterium. Its description in RNAcentral is "partial 16S ribosomal RNA". It matches the Rfam family "Bacterial small subunit ribosomal RNA", at positions 28 to 506 of the family's 1533-position model. The record is from RNAcentral.
GAUGAACGCUGGCGGCGUGCCUAAUACAUGCAAGUCGAGCGAACAGACGAGGAGCUUGCUCCUCUGACGUUAGCGGCGGACGGGUGAGUAACACGUGGAUAACCUACCUAUAAGACUGGGAUAACUUCGGGAAACCGGAGCUAAUACCGGAUAAUAUAUUGAACCGCAUGGUUCAAUAGUGAAAGACGGUUUUGCUGUCACUUAUAGAUGGAUCCGCGCCGCAUUAGCUAGUUGGUAAGGUAACGGCUUACCAAGGCGACGAUGCGUAGCCGACCCGAGAGGGUGAUCGGCCACACUGGAACUGAGACACGGUCCAGACUCCUACGGGAGGCAGCAGUAGGGAAUCUUCCGCAAUGGGCGAAAGCCUGACGGAGCAACGCCGCGUGAGUGAUGAAGGUCUUCGGAUCGUAAAACUCUGUUAUUAGGGAAGAACAAAUGUGUAAGUAACUAUGCACGUCUGGACGGUACCUAAUCAGAAAGCCACGGCUAACUACGU